CAGUAGCCGCGGGAAUACGUAGGGUGCGAGCGUUAAUCGGAAUUACUGGGCGUAAAGCGUGCGCAGGCGGUUGUGUAAGACAGGUGUGAAAUCCCCGGGCUCAACCUGGGAAUGGCGCUUGUGACUGCAAAGCUAGAGUGCGGCAGAGGGGGAUGGAAUUCCGCGUGUAGCAGUGAAAUGCGUAGAUAUGCGGAGGAACACCGAUGGCGAAGGCAAUCCCCUGGGCCCGCACUGACGCUCAUGCACGAAAGCGUGGGGAGCAAACAGGAUUAGAGACCCGUGUAGUCCCUGUCUCUUAUAC
RNAcentral lists this ribosomal RNA (301 nucleotides) under uncultured bacterium. RNAcentral describes it as "partial 16S ribosomal RNA". It matches the Rfam family "Bacterial small subunit ribosomal RNA", at positions 509 to 807 of the family's 1533-position model. The record is from RNAcentral.